UAUAUGAAUAAAUUUUAUUUUAAAUUGCUAGUUUAAAAUUUUUCUAAAGUGAAGUUAUUUAA
RNAcentral lists this transfer RNA (62 nucleotides) under Setaphyes kielensis. RNAcentral's name for it is "tRNA-Ser". The record is from RNAcentral. Lineage: Eukaryota; Metazoa; Kinorhyncha; Allomalorhagida; Pycnophyidae.